Molecule: ribosomal RNA, 450 nt
Filed under: uncultured bacterium
Lineage: Bacteria
Description: partial 16S ribosomal RNA
Rfam family: Bacterial small subunit ribosomal RNA
Source: RNAcentral
GUGGGGAAUAUUGGACAAUGGGCGAAAGCCUGAUCCAGCCAUGCCGCGUGUGUGAAGAAGGUCUUCGGAUUGUAAAGCACUUUAAGUUGGGAGGAAGGGCAGUAAGUUAAUACCUUGCUGUUUUGACGUUACCGACAGAAUAAGCACCGGCUAACUUCGUGCCAGCAGCCGCGGUAAUACGAAGGGUGCAAGCGUUAAUCGGAAUUACUGGGCGUAAAGCGCGCGUAGGUGGUUUUGUAAGUUGGAGGUGAAAUCCCCGGGCUCAACCUGGGAACUGCCUCCAAAACUGCAUGACUAGAGUACGGUAGAGGGUAGUGGAAUUUCCUGUGUAGCGGUGAAAUGCGUAGAUAUAGGAAGGAACAUCCGUGGCGAAGGCGACUACCUGGACUGAUACUGACACUGAGGUGCGAAAGCGUGGGGAGCAAACAGGAUUAGAAACCCGGGUAGUCC